CCGCCGAAGUGCUACAAACCAUGUAUUGAGUUUAAUGUACACAUACAUACGGGUGAAUGUACAUGUACAUAUCAACGCCAAAGAGAGCAAUCAAGUACAUUUUUAGUUCUCGAGCUGAGUUGUGUUCUCCGCUUGAUCAUUCUGAUGUGGUUGGUUAUUGGUGUAGGAAACAUUCACAUAGAAAGGAGAAAGCUACCAUGUCUCGAGAAACUAUAUCUUGGUCUGCAACUUUAUGCAUAUUUUCUUACUUUCUACAUGGCGUCGAUAUGCGAAAUAUCAAUGCAGCCUACGACAAAUUGAGAGAGUCACCGGCAUCCCAGUGCGGUUAUCUGGUGAGUAAAUGCGCAUUUAAAAUACAACAACAAAGAAAUUUAACCUCUGGGAGUCGAUGCUAAAGGUACACCGUUGUCUUUAUUAUUUACUAGAGUAUUAUAUUAUUUUCAAGAAAAUUACUGAUCUCUUUGACUGAUCGUUUGUAUGUUUACUUCAGGGAUCGGCUUGCAUAUACAUAUAUAGAUACAUAAGUAUGUGCAUGUUCACAUGUUUUUUUAUUGCUUUUGUGUGAGUAGACAGCAGGCAAAACGGAACAUUGUUUUGGUGCCAACCACUGCUUUACGUGAGCGCAGCAUCGGAACAAUUUCCAAUGCACCGGCCUCUGGUUUACUUAUACAUACAUAGUAUAUUUACAUAUUACACAUAUGCA
This 703-nucleotide small RNA is filed under the name Drosophila pseudoobscura pseudoobscura. RNAcentral's name for it is "GA30991". Lineage: Eukaryota; Metazoa; Arthropoda; Insecta; Diptera; Drosophilidae. The record is from RNAcentral.